UACACAAAGCAUCUCUUGUUCAAUGUGAGACUGUUAAACAAUAUUGUUGGACAAUGUAAUAAAGAUGUUGUUUCAUCAAGAAACUUUCACGGAUAGCAUAGAAAUAGUGUAUCCUCUGGAUACUUUCAAUUAGAGCUUGGUGUAUUAUUGUGUAUCAAGAAACUUUCACGGAUAAUCAAGCUUGGUUUUUCUCCAAUGGACUUAUUUUUUUAGUUCAUAUGAAGUAAAAAUAUCAGUCGAGAGAAUGAAGGUGGGUGAAAAACACAAGAAAUAGGGAUUUAAAUUAAUUUGUGUUUUAGGAUUUGAAAAGUUUUUAUUUGAACAAUCAUUUCGUUUAAGGUAGCUCUUUAUUUGUGUUUUAGAUUAAGAAAUAUGAGAUUUUUUGUGUCCCAUAUUUAUAGAGAAGGUAAUGCUUAUGCAAAUGGCCUUGCAAACCUAGGUCUUACUUUGCCUUCCUCUGAAUUAUUUUGGUCAGAUAUUAUCUUUAAUUUCAUUAGGGGAGAGUAUAUUAGGAAUGGGUUGGCAAUGUCCAAAUUCAAAUUUAACACCUUUUAAAAAGGUUUUGGUAUAAUCCCCCUUUUCUUUUUUUUUUACUCUUCUUUGGUUAUCUAUUGAAUGAUGCUCUUUGCAUCAGUUUAUAAAAAA
Molecule: long non-coding RNA, 645 nt
Filed under: Medicago truncatula (barrel medic)
Lineage: Eukaryota; Viridiplantae; Streptophyta; Magnoliopsida; Fabales; Fabaceae
Description: lncRNA gene46180
Source: RNAcentral